UCUCCGUAGGUGAACCUGCGGAGGGAUCAUUACAGAGUUCUCGCCCUCGCGGGUAGAUCUCCCACCCACUGGCAACGUUACCGUCGUUGCUUUUUCGGUCCGCCGGUUCCCCCGCCGCCGGCGUCUAAUAGGCGGCGCGCGCCCGCCAGAGGCCGUCGAACCCUGAAUGUUAGUGUCGUCUGAGUACUAUAUAAUAGUUAAAACUUUCAACAACGGAUCUCUUGGUUCUGG
This 231-nucleotide unclassified non-coding RNA is filed under the name plant metagenome. Its description in RNAcentral is "partial contains small subunit ribosomal RNA, internal transcribed spacer 1, and 5.8S ribosomal RNA". The record is from RNAcentral.